UACGGAGGGGACUAGCGUUGUUCGGAAUUACUGGGCGUAAAGCGCACGUAGGCGGAUUUGUUAGUCAGGGGUGAAAUCCCGAGGCUCAACCUCGGAACUGCCUUUGAUACUGCAAAUCUCGAGUCCGGAAGAGGUGAGUGGAAUUCCUAGUGUAGAGGUGAAAUUCGUAGAUAUUAGGAAGAACACCAGUGGCGAAGGCGGCACUCUGGGCCGAUACUGACACUGAGGAGCGAAAGCGUGGGGAGCGAACAGG
Molecule: ribosomal RNA, 253 nt
Filed under: uncultured bacterium
Lineage: Bacteria
Description: partial 16S ribosomal RNA
Rfam family: Bacterial small subunit ribosomal RNA
Source: RNAcentral